This 254-nucleotide ribosomal RNA is filed under the name uncultured bacterium. Its description in RNAcentral is "partial 16S ribosomal RNA". It matches the Rfam family "Bacterial small subunit ribosomal RNA", at positions 524 to 776 of the family's 1533-position model. The record is from RNAcentral.
UACGGGGGGAGCAAGCGUUGUUCGGAUUUACUGGGCGUAAAGGGCGCGUAGGCGGCCAGCACAAGUCAGUUGUGAAAUCUCCGGGCUUAACUCGGAAAGGUCAACUGAUACUGUGCGGCUAGAGUGCAGAAGGGGCAACUGGAAUUCUCGGUGUAGCGGUGAAAUGCGUAGAUAUCGAGAGGAACACCAGUUGCGAAGGCAGCUCGCUGGGACGUUACUGACGCUGAGACGCGAAAGCGUGGGGAGCAAACAGG